Molecule: long non-coding RNA, 1677 nt
Filed under: Anas platyrhynchos platyrhynchos (common mallard)
Lineage: Eukaryota; Metazoa; Chordata; Aves; Anseriformes; Anatidae
Description: lncRNA (ENSAPLG00000018738.1)
Source: RNAcentral
UUGAUCUGGCAGAAACUGAAUAUGAAUGAGAGAAUAAUGAGAGAAUAGUGGCCUAAUUGAGUGUUCCUUGUUUACAAGUUAACUUGGAGAUACCAUGAAAUAUAUAUCUUUUAUACAACUUUUUUUUUUUACUUUUUUUUUUUUUUUUCAUAUAACCAGUAUUCCAAAAGGAGAAGUGUGUCUUUGAAAUGCUAUAUGGAAAGCAAAGUUCCUGUGAAGCUCUCUGGCUUCAGAAGAAGUUCCAACAUUGGACUGAAAGUGGCAAUUCAAGACAGAAUUGGACCAUUUGAUAGACCAGUAGAUUUUUUUUUGUAGUUGGGCAAAGCAAACACAUACUUCAGCACCUCUGCGUGUUUGAGUGCUUCAGGACAUGAGAGCAUUACACCUACAUACUCCCCAUGUGACAUUCCCAGAAUGGUAUCUGGCGUUAAAUUCUGUUAUCUUUUGUGUGUAAUUAUGUGACUUUGAAUUCCCUUUUUAAGAAAUACUCAUCAUGAAUACAAAAUGCUCAUUUUCAAAUAUCAUCACAAAAAAAUCCAUUAUUUUCACUAUGUUUUCUGUCUUUCAGCUGUGCUUUCUGGUCAUUUUUAAAGCUUAAUCCAUCCUUUUGUGAUCUUCGCCAUGGGAAAGAUGAAACCAGAUGAUUGCCUGGGUGCAAGCAGGGAGCAGCAAAGACCCUUGAUCAUCUCAACAAUCUCAACAAAAUGAGAUCCAGUUGGAUCCACUAGCUGAUGAUGGAUAGAAUGGCAUUGUGUGCUCAACAUCUGUACAGAAAUAAAAUGAAUCAAGAAAUUCUUUUCUUCAGGAGAAAAAAAAAAAAAAAAAGUACAAGUGAUGUAGAAAAAUUACAGCAGUUUGUUUGACUUUGGCCAACUGGGAAUCACAAAGUGGCUUAUGGUAGCAGCAACUUUCCUGUGAAAAGCUUGGAGGUGUUACGUUACCAUCUCAAGACUCAUCUUGCUUCUGUAAGUAGCUCUCCUGCAAUACACUGACCAUCACUGCUUUUACAACAUGCUGCUUCUGGUCCUAAGCUUCUGUUAAUCUUUUCCAUCAGAGUUCUUAAAGCAUAGAUGAGGGUGUUGAGUCAGAGGCUGCUGCUUGCUGGCUGUCACCUGAAUAAGCUUCACAGAUAAUUCGUUUUAUUCAUAACUGAAAAUCUGAGAGAAGAUUCAAGUGAAUACUGAUAUCUUUUCAGUUUUCCUUAGUCUCAACAGGGUUUUCUCCUGUUGCUUCUUAAGUUCAGCAGAGCAAGGAAAGAAUGGAAAGCACACUGUGCAGCUGAAGUCACAAGACAUGUGGAAGGGAGGAGAGGAAAAUUGUAGGAAGUACACUUCAGAGACAUUGGUACAACACAAAAGAGAAAUAUAAAUCCAAAUGUUUAAAUCAUAUGUAACUGGUGAGCUACUCCUGCUCUGUUGUGUCCUGCUCCUUGUAGCAGUUAUAUUCUUUUUAUCCUUUGAAGCACUGACUGUCCUCCAGCUGACCGGUCUACUAUGGUAACUUCACUGAAGUCCUGACUACAACUACAACUCAAGUUUUACAAGAGUACUGUGGAAGUGGAAGCAAGAACCUAGUCUUCGUUUCGAUACUAGCAACAGGGCAACUGUUGGGUAGAAUCAAAUUGAUGCAAUACACUACAGGAAUAAAUUGCAUUUUUUUCUAGUUAUUUAAUUUAUU